AUCCUGUGGUGAGGAAACGCUAGGAUGUACUCUUGAAGCCUCUCCCAUGCUUCAGAUAUACACUCAUUUGACGCCUGCUGGAAACUGGAGAUUCUCCCUCGAAGAGC
Molecule: small nucleolar RNA, 107 nt
Organism: Panicum hallii
Lineage: Eukaryota; Viridiplantae; Streptophyta; Magnoliopsida; Poales; Poaceae
Source: RefSeq, a predicted model, not a curated record